UGGGGAAUAUUGGACAAUGGGGGCAACCCUGAUCCAGCCAUGCCGCGUGAGUGAAGAAGGCCUUCGGGUUGUAAAGCUCCUUUAGUCGGAAAGAAAGAGUUGCAAUGAAUAAUUGUGAUUUAUGACGGUACCGACAGAAAAAGCACCGGCCAACUACGUGCCAGCAGCCGCGGCAAUACGUAGGGUGCGAGCGCUAAUCGGAAUUACUGGGCGUAAAGGGUGCGCAGGCGGUCUUGCAAGCCAGUUGUGAAAGCCCCGGGCUUAACCUGGGAAUUGCGUUUGAAACUACAAGUCUAGAGUGCAGCAGAGGGGGGUGGAAUUCCAUGUGUAGCAGUGAAAUGCGUAGAGAUGUGGAAGAACACCGAUGGCGAAGGCAGCUCCCUGGGUUGACACUGACGCUCAUGCACGAAAGCGUGGGGAGCAAACA
RNAcentral lists this ribosomal RNA (427 nucleotides) under uncultured beta proteobacterium. RNAcentral describes it as "bacterial SSU rRNA". It matches the Rfam family "Bacterial small subunit ribosomal RNA", at positions 355 to 774 of the family's 1533-position model. Lineage: Bacteria; Pseudomonadati; Pseudomonadota; Betaproteobacteria. The record is from RNAcentral.